RNAcentral lists this ribosomal RNA (253 nucleotides) under uncultured bacterium. Its description in RNAcentral is "partial 16S ribosomal RNA". It matches the Rfam family "Bacterial small subunit ribosomal RNA", at positions 524 to 776 of the family's 1533-position model. The record is from RNAcentral.
UACGUAGGGUGCGAGCGUUAAUCGGAAUUACUGGGCGUAAAGCGUGCGCAGGCGGUUCGCCAAGUCAGGUGUGAAAUCCCCGGGCUUAACCUGGGAACUGCGUCUGAUACUGGAAGGCUUGAGUGCGGGAGAGGGAUGUGGAAUUCCAGGUGUAGCGGUGAAAUGCGUAGAUAUCUGGAGGAACACCGGUGGCGAAGGCGGCAUCCUGGACCGACACUGACGCUGAGGCGCGAAAGCUAGGGUAGCAAACGGG